Molecule: long non-coding RNA, 1402 nt
Filed under: Sus scrofa (pig)
Lineage: Eukaryota; Metazoa; Chordata; Mammalia; Artiodactyla; Suidae
Description: lncRNA (ENSSSCG00070000708.1)
Source: RNAcentral
UGAUAACAGUUUCUGAUUGUGCUUUUGUGCCCAUGUUCAUUGGCUAAAGAGGAAGAAAAGACAAAACAAGAGAUCUGAACAUCUCUAGCUCACAAGAUAAUUAUAUUUAUUACUCUGUCAUGAUAAAACAACACUCUGAGAACACAGUGGUUUUGUAUUUGUUUACAUAGUGAGUCAUUCUCUCAGUGUCUUGUCAUUACUGGGUGCUAGUAAAACUGUGUCUGGGUGCUCAGAGUAAAAUGAGACCCAGCAAGGAUCUCUAUUAGAAGACGAUUCACCAUGACCAGAUCCAAGGCAAUCUUCUACUGAUAACUGCACUUUUAAAGGCAAAAUAUUAUUUUCCAAGUUUAUUUGAGGGAAGCAACAGACCUUAUUAGGUAUCUUCAUCUGGAGUCUUAGGUGAAAAGAUCAGUUUUCCAUCAAUGAGAAGAAAUCCCUUUCCCAGGUGGAUAUUAUAUCCACAUGCACAUCCUGAGGAAGAGGCUUUGGAUAAGUCUGCCUGAACCAGUGCUGCCAAGAGUGGAAGGGAUGGGAGAAGAUGCUUCUCCAAAGGAAGUAAUGCCUCAUUUCAGCUACUUACCUCUGCACUCUCAAGCCCUUGCUGUCCAUCAUUCCUCCUGUUGUUGGGUCACCUUUCCCCUCCAUGGUGCUUUCUUGGAUGGAUCCUUCAAGACCACUCUGUCUGCCUCCCGUCUGCAGGGUCCACAUGUGGCCCAACUGGAUAUGCUUUGCUAGACUUUCUCAUCCCAUGUCUCCUCUCUGCUGUUGGUGGAAAAGACUUCUUAAAGCAAGUAUCAAAUGUCGUUUGCUAUGUCCCUCAUCGUCCCAGCAACACGCAUCAAGCUGUUUAAAUGGUCACUUGUUUUGAUUAGCUAGAAUACUUGUCAUCUAAUCUUUUUUCCUCUUGGUUGAUGAGGCAUGGCACUCUGGAGAAUUAAUUACAGAGAAAUCUUUCUGUUGUUAGAAGUCAUUUCAGCCUUUGGCUGCAAAGAAUUGUUUUCUGAUCAUAGACUCUGCUCCUUAAUCCUACCACAGAGAUGAUCUGGCUGAAACAGAUUGUCCUUUGCUUGUGACCAGAAACAAGCAUAUUUUUUUAUUUUGAAUGGCACCAGUGCUGGAUUUCAACCAGAGCCUCUGCUGACACCCCAAGAGCACCCCUUCUCUUUUUUUAGGCUUUUAGCUGGACAAAGCUUUACAUUUUAUCAGGGUUGUCAGUAAUCUACGGCAAGCAGCAGCAUGUUUUACUAGUGCUAAGAAGACUACAUAUCUGUUUGCAUAUGCUGCAUAAAAAAACUCUCCUAAAAGUUACAGCUUAACAAAACAACCAUGGGCUCAAAAUUCUGCAGAUCGCUUAUUUGGACUGGGCUUCUCUGGGGGAUUUUUCUAGUUUGCUAGUCUUCUU